GAUGAACGCUGGCGGCGUGUCUAAUACAUGCAAGUCGAGCGAACAGAUGAGGAGCUUGCUCCUCUGACGUUAGCGGCGGACGGGUGAGUAACACGUGGAUAACCUACCUAUAAGACUGGGAUAACUUCGGGAAACCGGAGCUAAUACCGGAUAAUAUAUUGAACCGCAUGGUUCAAUAGUGAAAGACGGUUUUGCUGUCACUUAUAGAUGGAUCCGCGCCGCAUUAGCUAGUUGGUAAGGUAACGGCUUACCAAGGCAACGAUGCGUAGCCGACCUGAGAGGGUGAUCGGCCACACUGGAACUGAGACACGGUCCAGACUCCUACGGGAGGCAGCAGUAGGGAAUCUUCCGCAAUGGGCGAAAGCUUGACGGAGCAACGCCGCGUGAGUGAUGAAGGUCUUCGGAUCGUAAAACUCUGUUAUUAGGGAAGAACAAAUGUGUAAGUAACUAUGCACGUCUUGACGGUACCUAAUCAGAAAGCCACGGCUAACUACGUG
Molecule: ribosomal RNA, 497 nt
Filed under: uncultured bacterium
Lineage: Bacteria
Description: partial 16S ribosomal RNA
Rfam family: Bacterial small subunit ribosomal RNA
Source: RNAcentral